GUCAACGAUCAAUACCAUGUUGAAAAACCAGUUCUCCGUCGACCACGUGGAAGUUAAGCAACAUCGGGCGCGAUUAGUACUUAGAUGGGUGACCGCUUGGGAACGUCGCGUGUCGUUGGCC
Molecule: ribosomal RNA, 121 nt
Filed under: Aedes aegypti (yellow fever mosquito)
Lineage: Eukaryota; Metazoa; Arthropoda; Insecta; Diptera; Culicidae
Source: RNAcentral